RNAcentral lists this ribosomal RNA (776 nucleotides) under uncultured Neocallimastigales. RNAcentral's name for it is "partial large subunit ribosomal RNA". It matches the Rfam family "Eukaryotic large subunit ribosomal RNA", at positions 18 to 643 of the family's 3401-position model. The record is from RNAcentral. Lineage: Eukaryota; Fungi; Neocallimastigomycota; Neocallimastigomycetes; Neocallimastigales.
UUCAGACGAUGCGUCAUGCAUAUCAAUAAGCGGAGGAAAAGAAACUAACAAGGAUUCCCCUAGUAACGGCGGAGUGAAGCGGGAAGAGCUCAAAUUUGAAAUCUUAAAGGGUUUCCCUUUACGAAUUGUAGUUUAAAGAAGUGUUUUCUGUUGAGGUUUUGGUAAAAGUUCUUUGGAAUAGGACAUCAUAGAGGGUGAGAAUCCCGUAUUUGACCUUUACUUUCAACUUUGUGAUACACUUUCAAAGAGUCGGAUUGUUUGGGAAUGCAGUCCAAAAUGGGUGGUAAAUUUCAUCUAAAGCUAAAUAUUGGCGAGAGACCGAUAGCGAACAAGUACCGUGAGGGAAAGAUGAAAAGAACUUUGAAAAGAGAGUUAAACAGUACGUGAAAUUGUCAAAAGGGAAGCGUUUGACACCAGUGUUGUUUUUCUGAAAAUCAAUUAAAGAACUGUUUAUGCUAAGUUGUUUAGACUUUAUCAGCUAACUGUUUAGUUUUGAGCUUUUCUUUAAUGCACUUUUCAGUUAACAAGUCAACAUCAAUUUCUUUUGCUGUAAAAAAGCUUGAGGAAGGUGGCUUGAGAUUCGUCUUAAGUGUUUAUAGCCUCUUGCCUAUGCAGUCGGAGAGAUUGAGGUCUGCAGCGUAGAUCCUUCGGGGCUAAAUGCAUUUGUGCUAAGUUAGAGCAUUUUAUAGACAACUUGUUGACUAUGAUUUGUCUUGUAGCUUACUCGCUUAUGUUAUUUUACCUACGCUUAGGAUGUUGACACACGCGCGUGCUCG